This 517-nucleotide ribosomal RNA is filed under the name uncultured Oceanospirillaceae bacterium. RNAcentral describes it as "bacterial SSU rRNA". It matches the Rfam family "Bacterial small subunit ribosomal RNA", at positions 60 to 566 of the family's 1533-position model. Lineage: Bacteria; Pseudomonadati; Pseudomonadota; Gammaproteobacteria; Oceanospirillales; Oceanospirillaceae. The record is from RNAcentral.
AGUCGAGCGGUAACAGGAAUUAGCUUGCUAAUUUGCUGACGAGCGGCGGACGGGUGAGUAACGCGUAGGAAUCUGCCUGGUAGUGGGGGACAGCAUGUGGAAACGCAUGCUAAUACCGCAUACGCCCUACGGGGGAAAGGAGGGGAUCUUCGGACCUUUCGCUAUCAGAUGAGCCUGCGUGAGAUUAGCUAGUUGGUGGGGUAAAGGCUCACCAAGGCGACGAUCUCUAGCUGGUCUGAGAGGAUGAUCAGCCACACUGGGACUGAGACACGGCCCAGACUCCUACGGGAGGCAGCAGUGGGGAAUAUUGGACAAUGGGCGCAAGCCUGAUCCAGCCAUGCCGCGUGUGUGAAGAAGGCCUUCGGGUUGUAAAGCACUUUCAGAGGUGAGGAAGGGUGUGUAGUUAAUACCUACAUAUCUUGACGUUAGCCUCAGAAGAAGCACCGGCUAACUCUGUGCCAGCAGCCGCGGUAAUACAGAGGGUGCGAGCGUUAAUCGGAAUUACUGGGCGUAAAGC